This 97-nucleotide ribosomal RNA is filed under the name Bacillus capparidis. RNAcentral's name for it is "partial 23S ribosomal RNA". It matches the Rfam family "Bacterial large subunit ribosomal RNA", at positions 2828 to 2925 of the family's 2925-position model. Lineage: Bacteria; Bacillati; Bacillota; Bacilli; Caryophanales; Bacillaceae. The record is from RNAcentral.
GUAAGAUCCCUGAAAGAUGAUCAGGUAGAUAGGUCUGAGGUGGACGUGUGGUGACACAUGGAGCUGACAGAUACUAAUCGAUCGAGGACUUAACCUA